AGGGAAAUAUGCCCUAUGAAUGGGACCGGAACAUGGACCCGCCGCUGUUUAUCAGGGUUUGCGGGCGACCGGAAACCACCCUGUCGUGUCUGCAUGCCGAAGAUCGGAACAUCGUGAAUGUCGAAAAUGUUGUCGAUCCUCGAUAUCGAACAGCUCGAAGUGAACAUGUUUCGCGGCACGAGCCCAAAGACGCGCUGGCAGCGCGUGUUCGGCGGGCAGGUGAUCGGUCAGGCGAUGG
RNAcentral lists this unclassified non-coding RNA (238 nucleotides) under Hevea brasiliensis (rubber tree). The record is from RNAcentral. Lineage: Eukaryota; Viridiplantae; Streptophyta; Magnoliopsida; Malpighiales; Euphorbiaceae.